This 453-nucleotide ribosomal RNA is filed under the name Zygothrica leptorostra. Its description in RNAcentral is "partial 28S ribosomal RNA". It matches the Rfam family "Eukaryotic large subunit ribosomal RNA", at positions 1508 to 1897 of the family's 3401-position model. Lineage: Eukaryota; Metazoa; Arthropoda; Insecta; Diptera; Drosophilidae. The record is from RNAcentral.
UUCGUGUGAACAGUGGUUGAUCACGAGUUAGUCGGUCCUAAGUUCAAGGCGAAAGCCGAAAAUUUUCAAGUAAAAAAUGGAAAUAUAAGUAUUGACAUAAAACACUUGAUAAUUUUGAACGAAAGGGAAUACGGUUCCAAUUCCGUAACCUGUUGAGUAUCCGUUUGUUAUUAAAUAUGGGCCUUGUGCUCAUCCUGGCAACAGGAACGACCAUAAAGAAGCCGUCGAGAGAUAUCGGAAGAGUUUUCUUUUCUGUUUUAUAGCCGUACUACCAUGGAAGUCUUUCGCAGAGAGAUAUGGUAGAUGGGCUAGAAGAGCAUGACAUAUACUGUUGUGUCGAUAUUUUCUCCUCGGACCUUGAAAAUUUAUGGUGGGGAUACGCAAACUUCUCAACAGGCCGUACCAAUAUCCGCAGCUGGUCUCCAAGGUGAAGAGUCUCUAGUCGAUAGAAUA